AGGACGAACGCUGGCGGCGUGCUUAACACAUGCAAGUCGAGCGGAAAGGCCCUUCGGGGUACUCGAGCGGCGAACGGGUGAGUAACACGUGAGCAACCUGCCCCUGGCUCUGGGAUAGCCUCCGGAAACGGGGAUUAAUACCGGACAUGACCUGCUGCCGCAUGGUGGCGGGUGGAAAGUUUUCGGCCAGGGUGGGGCUCGCGGCCUAUCAGCUUGUUAGGGGGGUGACGGCCCACCAAGGCGACGACGGGUAGCCGGCCUGAGAGGGCGACCGGCCACACUGGGACUGAGACACGGCCCAGACUCCUACGGGAGGCAGCAGUGGGGAAUAUUGCGCAAUGGGCGGAAGCCUGACGCAGCGACGCCGCGUGCGGGAUGAAGGCCUUCGGGUUGUAAACCGCUUUCACCAGGGGCGAAGCGAGAGUGACGGUACCUGGGGAAGAAGCGCCGGCUAACUACGCGCCAGCAGCCGC
Molecule: ribosomal RNA, 473 nt
Filed under: uncultured bacterium
Lineage: Bacteria
Description: SSU rRNA
Rfam family: Bacterial small subunit ribosomal RNA
Source: RNAcentral